RNAcentral lists this long non-coding RNA (1543 nucleotides) under Marmota monax (woodchuck). The record is from RNAcentral. Lineage: Eukaryota; Metazoa; Chordata; Mammalia; Rodentia; Sciuridae.
GUUUGUGCUGAGUUCUCCGCGAGGGCAGGAAGAAGCUAGUCUUAUUCCUUUCCUGUGAUUUUGGUGACUCCUGAUGGUCCUCUUUCCUGCUCACUGCCUAGAAGGCAUAACAGUCGCUCCUGGAUCAGUCGUUAAAUUCCUGUCCUUCGAUUCCAUACAUUGUUGGCGGUAGUUCUACAGACUGAGAACUCAAUCUUUCAGACAAAUGGGUUCCCACUUGGAAUCCUAGGUACCUCCAAAAAAAGAGAAAAAGUAUCAACAGGAGUAUUCAAUCAGUGGAAUAUCAGAAAACCAAGCCUAUUAGCUGGAGAGCAUUAUCUUCGGUCUAAAACGCCAAGCUACUCUCAUUAUUCGGUCAAGAAAUUAUUUGUUGAAAAAAUACUAGGUACGAGGGAUAAAACAAUGAAAAAGGCAAACAUGGACGCUACCUUUCCAGAAUUAACAGUCUAUUGAAGAAGACAAACUAUUUAAAAACAGUGUAAUAAGGUUACUACAAGGACUGCAAUGCCAGGCUUGUAGGGGCACGUGAGGGUGUCCACAAGGGGGUCUAUAAAGCCUUUUGUAAGGUGAUAUCUAAGUAAUACAUAAAGGAAAAGUUAGUGUUGCAAGGAAACAACUGACGGAAAAGUCCAAAGAGAUUGUGUAGAGCAAUUGGGGAAGUAAUUGUGCUCAGGGAAAGAGGAUUUGGGCCGUGGGGGAAGGUAGUAACCACAGAGGAGACUGAGAGGUAAGGCUAGAUAACAUACCCUAGUGAAUAUGAUUGCUUCUAUUUCAAAAUGUGAAGUAGGUGAUUGUCUUUUGAAAACCUUAUAUAUUACAGAAUCCAUUUGCACCCUAAAUAGUUCCAGUACAAAAAUGUUUUGAAUGUAACUUGAUUGAGAGCCAAUGAUAUACAGCUCAUAGAACUAGCAAAAAUCCACAAGUUAAUUCCUGAAAUCAAAUAAUUACUGGUUAUCCAGUGUGUAUGGUGGAAGGCAAUAGUAUGGAAACUAAACAAUUACCCCCAUUAAUUACUGAAGUUAUUUUUAAAUGAAGUGAAAAUUUAAAAUUUGGGGGAGGGGAUCCUCCAAGAAGAAAUUAUUCACACCUUCAUAUUCCUAACAUAUGCCAUUAACAAAACACUUUUAUAUGCAUUUUAUUCUCCCCUACAACCAUGUGAGAUAGUCAGAAUGGGUGCUAUUUGUCCCCCACACUUUCAGUUGAAGACACUGAAAUGAAAGAGAAAUAGAGGGGGGAGAGAGAAGCAUACCCACUAGUAAGACAACUGGGGCUCAGAUCCCACUCUGCUCUUUACACAACCUCUGACAAUGUUGUUACCAUUGUUAGUUUUGUUAAGGUGGUUGGUUUGUUUAUUGUGGUUCUUGGCCCUCUACCAUUUUUUAUUUCGAGAUAGGGUCUUGCUAAGAUGCCCAGGCUGACUUUGAAUUUGUAGUCCUCCUUCCUUAACCCCACAAGUCUGUUAUUACAGGCUUGCCUCAUGAUACCCAGCUUGUUUAACACUUUAAAAUAUUUGUUUUUCAUCUUAGCUAUCAUUUACUUCAGU